UACGAAGGGGGCUAGCGUUGUUCGGAAUUACUGGGCGUAAAGCGCACGCAGGCGGUCCGUUAAAUUAGAAGUGAAAGCCCUGGGCUCAACCUAGGAAUAGCUUUUAAGACUGGCGGACUCGAAUCCAGAAGAGGGUAGUGGAAUUCCCAGUGUAGAGGUGAAAUUCGUAGAUAUUGGGAAGAACACCAGUGGCGAAGGCGACUGCCUGGUCUGGCAUUGACGCUCAUGUGCGAAAGCGUGGGGAGCAAACAGG
Molecule: ribosomal RNA, 253 nt
Filed under: uncultured bacterium
Lineage: Bacteria
Description: partial 16S ribosomal RNA
Rfam family: Bacterial small subunit ribosomal RNA
Source: RNAcentral